UACAGAGGGGGCAAGCGUUAUUCGGAAUUAUUGGGCGUAAAGGGCGCGUAGGCGGCCUGGCAAGUGGAAGGUGAAAUCCCUCGGCUUAACCGAGGAACUGCCCUCCAAACUGCUUGGCUUGAGUCCGGGAGAGGUGAGUGGAAUUCCCAGUGUAGCGGUGAAAUGCGUAGAUAUUGGGAGGAACACCAGUGGCGAAGGCGGCUCACUGGACCGGAACUGACGCUGAGGCGCGAAAGCGUGGGGAGGAAACAGG
Molecule: ribosomal RNA, 253 nt
Filed under: uncultured bacterium
Lineage: Bacteria
Description: partial 16S ribosomal RNA
Rfam family: Bacterial small subunit ribosomal RNA
Source: RNAcentral